GACGAACGCUGGCGGCGUGCUUAACACAUGCAAGUCGAGCGGUAAGGCCCUUUCGGGGGUACACGAGCGGCGAACGGGUGAGUAACACGUGGGUGACCUGCCCUCAGCUCAGGGAUAAGCCUGGGAAACCGGGUCUAAUACUGGAUAUGACUCCAUGACGCAUGUUGUGGGGUGGAAAGCCUUGUGCGGCUGAGGAUGGGCCCGCGGCCUAUCAGCUUGUUGGUGGGGUGANGGCCUACCAAGGCGACGACGGGUAGCCGGCCUGAGAGGGCGACCGGCCACACUGGGACUGAGACACGGCCCAGACUCCUACGGGAGGCAGCAGUGGGGAAUAUUGGACAAUGGGCGCAAGCCUGAUCCAGCCAUGCCGCGUGUGUG
RNAcentral lists this ribosomal RNA (378 nucleotides) under uncultured bacterium. RNAcentral's name for it is "bacterial SSU rRNA". It matches the Rfam family "Bacterial small subunit ribosomal RNA", at positions 28 to 407 of the family's 1533-position model. The record is from RNAcentral.